This 164-nucleotide ribosomal RNA is filed under the name Rheum palmatum. RNAcentral's name for it is "5.8S ribosomal RNA". It matches the Rfam family "5.8S ribosomal RNA". Rfam says of the family: 5.8S ribosomal RNA (5.8S rRNA) is a component of the large subunit of the eukaryotic ribosome. It is transcribed by RNA polymerase I as part of the 45S precursor that also contains 18S and 28S rRNA. Functionally, it is thought that 5.8S rRNA may be involved in ribosome translocation. RNAcentral also lists the same sequence under 1 other name. The record is from RNAcentral. Lineage: Eukaryota; Viridiplantae; Streptophyta; Magnoliopsida; Caryophyllales; Polygonaceae.
AGAAUGACUCUCGGCAACGGAUAUCUCGGCUCUCGCAUCGAUGAAGAACGUAGCGAAAUGCGAUACUUGGUGUGAAUUGCAGAAUCCCGUGAACCAUCGAGUCUUUGAACGCAAGUUGCGCCCGAAGCCUUCUGGCCGAGGGCACGUCUGUCUGGGCGUCACGC